RNAcentral lists this ribosomal RNA (492 nucleotides) under uncultured bacterium. Its description in RNAcentral is "partial 16S ribosomal RNA". It matches the Rfam family "Bacterial small subunit ribosomal RNA", at positions 29 to 507 of the family's 1533-position model. The record is from RNAcentral.
AGUGAACGCUGGCGGUAGGCCUAACACAUGCAAGUCGAACGGCAGCACAGUAAGAGCUUGCUCUUACGGGUGGCGAGUGGCGGACGGGUGAGGAAUACAUCGGAAUCUACUUUUUCGUGGGGGAUAACGUAGGGAAACUUACGCUAAUACCGCAUACGACCUACGGGUGAAAGCAGGGGAUCUUCGGACCUUGCGCGAUUGAAUGAGCCGAUGUCGGAUUAGCUAGUUGGCGGGGUAAAGGCCCACCAAGGCGACGAUCCGUAGCUGGUCUGAGAGGAUGAUCGGCCACACUGGAACUGAGACACGGUCCAGACUCCUAAGGGAGGCAGCAGAGGGGAAUAUUGGACAAUGGGCGCAAGCCUGAUCCAGCCAUACCGCGUGGGUGAAGAAGGCCUUCGGGUUGUAAAGACCUUUUGUUGGGAAAGAAAAGCAGCAGGUUAAUACCCCGCUGUUCUGACGGUACCCAAAGAAUAAGCACCGGCUAACUUCGUG